GAUGAACGCUGGCGGCGUGCCUAACACAUGCAAGUCGAGCGGCAGCGCGAGUAGUUUACUACUUGGCGGCGAGCGGCGGACGGCUGAGUAACGCGUGGGAAUUUGCCCCAAAGUGAGGAAUAACUGCCCGAAAGGGUGGCUAAUGCCGCAUAUGAUCUCCGGAUUAAAGGAUUUAUCCGCUUUGGGAGAAGCCCGCGUCGGAUUAGGUAGUUGGUGAGGUAAUGGCUCACCAAGCCGACGAUCCGUAGCUGGUCUGAGAGGAUGACCAGCCAGACUGGAACUGAGACACGGUCCAGACUCCUACGGGAGGCAGCAGUGAGGAAUCUUCCACAAUGGGCGAAAGCCUGAUGGAGCAACGCCGCGUGCAGGAUGAAGGCCUUCGGGUUGUAAACUGCUUUUAUAAGUGAGGAAUAUGACGGUAGCUUAUGAAUAAGGAUCGGCU
RNAcentral lists this ribosomal RNA (442 nucleotides) under TM7 phylum sp. oral taxon 346. RNAcentral describes it as "bacterial SSU rRNA". It matches the Rfam family "Bacterial small subunit ribosomal RNA", at positions 28 to 498 of the family's 1533-position model. The record is from RNAcentral. Lineage: Bacteria; Candidatus Saccharimonadota.